Non-coding RNA from Theobroma cacao (cacao), 361 nucleotides. The record is from RefSeq and is a predicted model, not a curated record. Lineage: Eukaryota; Viridiplantae; Streptophyta; Magnoliopsida; Malvales; Malvaceae.
CAAAGAAAAAAGGGGGAAAGAAUAGAAAAACUCUAAGGAGGAAAAAUUCAAGAGAAAUUCAUUAGAUUUUCGAAAAACGAAGCGAUCUGAGGUGGUGAGCCCUCUGAUAAGGAUAAGGAUAUCGUACCCGAGGACCAAGAGUAAGAGUACUCCCGUUAGAGUUCAGAGCAGUCUGUAGACAGUCGAUUUUGUUGAGGGUUUGGUUUUGGAUUUGCAACCUUAGAAAUCGUAGGUCUACAGUCCUGUUUAUUUUUGUUAUUUCGGGGCUCACAUGUCAUUGUAAAAUAUUUUUAUAUACCCUGGCAUUGUGUGCUAUUAUGUAUAUGAAUUUAUUUUGUUAUUACGCUACAGUAAUUGUUUA